This is a long non-coding RNA of Silurus meridionalis, 707 nucleotides long. RefSeq lists it as uncharacterized. The transcript is spliced from 2 exons. NCBI's taxonomy places the organism in Eukaryota, Metazoa, Chordata, Actinopteri, Siluriformes, Siluridae. The record is from RefSeq and is a predicted model, not a curated record.
UCCUCCUGUACUGGGAACUAUUUUUGGCUCUUGCGCCAUGUCCAGUAACAGAGCGUUCGCAAGGAUGUUCAUUGUUACAUGUGUACCAUCAACACUUCCUCAUUGUCUGGAUUUGACAUUAGUGCCAUGCAGUUUCUCUACUGCAUGUUCCUGUGAUGCAAUGACCCUGUCUGUUGCGCUGCUGCCAUCUGCAGCUCCCGAUCUGCACUUGAAGUCGCUCUGCAUCUCCUCACACAUAUAAAGAGGCAAACAAAAGACUGGGCAGUGUUUGUUUGCUUCUAUUGUACAACAGUGUGGGUUUUGGAUUACUUCCAUAACGUUCAGCCGGAUACAUGACAAUAUGUCCAUACCCUCCCCUUUCUCCUCAAGUGUGGCAGGUGCUGGGUUCAAAUCGGUCUGAGUCAUCCAGUGCACUACAUCGGAAUGGCAUUAGUCAUGCAGGGCUCCAGUUACUGUACUCCAGGCCUUUAUGUCUUGAAGCUGUAAAACAUGACCAAUUCCCACUAAUUCUUUUGAUAGAUCUUGUAGCGCUCUUCUCGAAUUUCAGAUUGAUGAGCCGAAGUCGACAGAGGAUCACGGAUGAAAUUGGUGCAGGAAGAGCACGCUGGACAGGAACCUAAUGUUCUUCUGAAGAAGCUCUUUCGAAUGGGUGAUAGUAUUGACAAAGGGACACUCCAGGCUUCCGUUAGAUGAUCGAUUAUUGAGAA